AGCAAUUCUGAACGCGAGUGGUGGGAGGAAGAGGGGGGAUAUGGGUAGUGAGGGUGAAGGAGCUUCAUCCCUCUUUAAAACAAACCGGCAUAACUCUCCCGUGUUAUAAUGGACGCUUCCUGAGCUGCUGACUGUAUUCAUUUCUUUUUAUAAGCUCCUUUGUAAAGGGGAGAAAUGGUCGACUUCACACCGAAAAGUGUCACAUCCAUUUUAAUUGGAGAAAAAAGUUCUCGUCCGACAGAUGCUGAGUGCUGACCCAGUGCAGUGAAGGAGGAACAGGGCCGGCAGCAGACAGUAGCUGUACAGUCCCCCUGCUUGACCAGUCAGAGGAAAUUAGGUCUGAUCAGUUCCUGUCUUGAGAUAAUCAUCCGCACCAUUAAGAGUUUCAGACGUACUGCCGAGACACUACAUCUGCAGAGCUGAGAGAAAAAAGUCAGCCACCAUAAACUAAUGAAGUACAAGUCUGUUUAUCUUGGCAAGUCUGGGAGAAAUAUUUAAUUGCUUCGGAGAAAGUCUAAUGCCUGCCGAACCAUAACUUCUCAGGCUCCAACACUGUUAUUUAAAACACUAUUGGAUGAUUGUGCAAUGUGGUAACUGUGAAGCUUUGAGGGGGUUUAUGAUUACCAGGAUGUAGUCUGUUUUCCAAACACUGUUAGAUCAUCUAUUCCAUGAUGCAUUUCAUUGAGGUAUGAAAAUAGCUCCAAUGGUGCCAUGUAUUGCAUAGGAUUCUCAAAUAUGGCAUACAUGCAAUACUAUUCAAUGAGUCAUUCAAUUUUGUCAUAGUGAAUAAAC
Long non-coding RNA from Salmo salar (Atlantic salmon), 792 nucleotides. RefSeq lists it as uncharacterized. The record is from RefSeq and is a predicted model, not a curated record. Lineage: Eukaryota; Metazoa; Chordata; Actinopteri; Salmoniformes; Salmonidae.